ACGGGUGAGUAAUGCGUAGGAAUCUGCCUCAUGGUGGGGGAUAACCUAGGGAAACUUAGGGUAAUACCGCAUAAGCCUUACGGGGUAAAGCAGGGGACCUUCGGGCCUUGCGCUAUGAGAUGAGCCUACGUCGGAUUAGCUUGUUGGUGAGGUAAAGGCUCACCAAGGCGAUGAUCCGUAGCUGGUCUGAGAGGACGACCAGCCACACUGGGACUGAGACACGGCCCAGACUCCUACGGGAGGCAGCAGUGGGGAAUAUUGGACAAUGGGCGCAAGCCUGAUCCAGCAAUGCCGCGUGUGUGAAGAAGGCCUGCGGGUUGUAAAGCACUUUCGGUGGGGAGGAGAGGCCUUUGGUUAAUACCCAAGGGAAGAGACGUUACCCACAGAAGAAGCACCGGCUAACUCUGUGCCAGCAGCCGCGGUAAUACAGAGGGUGCAAGCGUUAAUCGGAAUUACUGGGCGUAAAGGGUGCGUAGGUGGUUUGAUAAGUUAGGUGUGAAAGUCCUGGGCUUAACCUGGGGACUGCGCUUAAUACUGUUAAGCUAGAGUACUGUAGAGGGAGGUGGAAUUUCCGGUGUAGCGGU
Molecule: ribosomal RNA, 584 nt
Filed under: uncultured bacterium
Lineage: Bacteria
Description: bacterial SSU rRNA
Rfam family: Bacterial small subunit ribosomal RNA
Source: RNAcentral